CAUAAUUCAUGCAGUUUUCUGUGUAUAUGUCUAGUUUUAAGAGUUUACUAAAGAGAAAAAAUCUGAGGGUGUCAUCAUCUGCAUAGUGGAGCACAGCAACCUGUGAUUUGUGCCUGCCAAGUAAGUGUUCCUGUCACUCUUCUCUGUUGACAACUCCUGUCCAGCAGCCCUAGGAGAGAGGGUGUGACCAGGACUGGCCUAUCUCAGUGUGUCAUCUCCUUGCCACUGGGGAUUGCCUCGGGGGGCAGACACCUAACUUGAGCAAGCCCAUCUGAGCCCUUCCCUAUUAGAAAGAUUCCUGUUGAAAAAAUUUCUCCCUUGAUGUUGGGGUGGCUGAGCCUGGGCUGCCAGGGGCUGUAUCCCCACCACUGGAGGAGGGCUGUCUACAGAAAGAGAGAGUGAGGCCAGUGGGUGAAGGGGGACAGAGGAGACAAGGGCAGGACAAACAGCCCUGGCCGCUGCCAAUCCCAGGUUCUGUUCUUCUCCAACUUCCCAGAAUCUUCCUUGUGUCAAACCUGUGAGUUAGUUCGGCCUCUUGCCCAGCUAGGUGAGGCAGUAAAUUGCUUUUUAUGCCUCAGCUUGUUCAGUUUGGCUCCUACCUAUGACUAAGAGAGUCUUGACUAAUCCAUUACGCAACUGGGUGGAUGGCAGGGCCACUUACUGAAGCAGGUACGGCCAGCGGAGGUGGAGAAAGUGUAAGCUGUGCGAGCCACAUCAUCCGGGAAGGGGCGGUCGCUCCUCGACGUCAGGAGGAUGUCACAACCCUGACGCGGGUGUUUUACAUCAUCUUUGUCUAGGCUGGGGUGAUGACUAGCCCCCAAGGUCACGAUACACACUCACUCCCUACUCUGGAGUUCACCUUGAGAUUACAUUCUUUCUCAUUAGUGAUCGAAUUGACUUCUAAGUCUUGAAGCCUUCAGCCUUUGAGCUCAGACACAUUCCUUUCCCUCCUGGACUUCUGCCAUCAGCGAUAACCAGGAAAGUCCCAGGGAUGCUGAUUAACAUCCCGAGGAAAGGAAAUGGGACAACCUCCCGUCUCCAAGACUUUCUGCGGACCCCUCACUGCUUUUUCUCAGGGCCACACGGUGUCAGUGCUGAGACACCGACAAGCCUAUGGCGUCGGUGGUGCCCGGCUCCUGUCACGCAGCACUGUAUGUCUUCCAUGGACCUGGAAGGAG
This 1178-nucleotide long non-coding RNA is filed under the name Homo sapiens (human). RNAcentral's name for it is "HSALNT0219338". The record is from RNAcentral. Lineage: Eukaryota; Metazoa; Chordata; Mammalia; Primates; Hominidae.